ACGGAAGGCAGCAGUAAGGGAUAUUGGGCAAUGGGGGGAACCCUGACCCAGCCAUGCCGCGUGAGGGAAUGAGGCCCUACGGGUCGUGAACCUCUUUUGCCUGGGGAUAACCCCUCUCGCGCGACGGGGGGCUGCAGGUACCAGGCGAAUAAGCAUCGGCUAACUCCGUGCCAGCAGCCGCGGUAAUACGGAGGAUGCGAGCGUUAUCCGGAUUCAUUGGGUUUAAAGGGUGCGCAGGCGGCGCGUUAAGUCAGCGGUGAAAUGCAGGGGACCAACCCCGGCAGUGCCGUUGAUACUGGCGUGCUGGAAUGCGGUCGAGGCGGGCGGAAUGUGGCGUGUAGCGGUGAAAUGCAUAGAUAUGCCACAGAACUCCGGUAGCGAAGGCAGCUCGCCAGGCCUGCAUUGACGCUCAGGCACGAAAGCGUGGGGAUCAAACAGGAUUAGAUACCCUGGUA
Molecule: ribosomal RNA, 455 nt
Filed under: uncultured bacterium
Lineage: Bacteria
Description: partial 16S ribosomal RNA
Rfam family: Bacterial small subunit ribosomal RNA
Source: RNAcentral